RNAcentral lists this ribosomal RNA (253 nucleotides) under uncultured bacterium. Its description in RNAcentral is "partial 16S ribosomal RNA". It matches the Rfam family "Bacterial small subunit ribosomal RNA", at positions 524 to 776 of the family's 1533-position model. The record is from RNAcentral.
UACGUAGGGGGCAAGCGUUGUCCGGAAUCAUUGGGCGUAAAGAGCGUGUAGGCGGCUCGGUAAGUCCGCUGUGAAAGUCCAGGGCUCAACCCUGGAAUGCCGGUGGAAACUGUCGAGCUAGAGUCCGGAAGAGGCGAGUGGAAUUCCUGGUGUAGCAGUGAAAUGCGUAGAUAUCAAGUGGAACACCAGUGGCGAAGGCGAGUCUCUGGACAUUUCCUGACGCUGAGGCACGAAAGCCAGGGGAGCAAACGGG